RNAcentral lists this ribosomal RNA (396 nucleotides) under uncultured bacterium. RNAcentral describes it as "bacterial SSU rRNA". It matches the Rfam family "Bacterial small subunit ribosomal RNA", at positions 123 to 499 of the family's 1533-position model. The record is from RNAcentral.
AACCUGCCUUUGAGAAGGGGAUAACUGUCCGAAAGGAUAGCUAAUACCCUAUAUUGCCUUUUGUCACUAAGGCAAAAGGUGAAAGCGAGGCUGUCAAAGGCUUCGGCUCAAAGAGGGGUUCGCGUCCUAUCAGGUAGUUGGUGGGGUAAUGGCCUACCAAGCCAAUGACGGGUAGCUGGUCUUAGAGGAUGAUCAGCCACAGUGGGACUGAGACACGGCCCGCACCCCUACGGGGGGCAGCAGUGGGGAAUCGUGGGCAAUGGGCGCAAGCCUGACCCCGCAAUGCCGCGUGAGGGAAGAAGCCCUUCGGGGUGUAAACCUCUGUCAGAUGGGAAGAUGGGACUAGGGGCUAAUACCUCCUAGUCUUGACGGUACCAUCAGAGGAAGGGACGGCUA